This 280-nucleotide long non-coding RNA is filed under the name Panax ginseng (ginseng). RNAcentral describes it as "long non-coding RNA (PGIN_LNC015053)". The record is from RNAcentral. Lineage: Eukaryota; Viridiplantae; Streptophyta; Magnoliopsida; Apiales; Araliaceae.
UUCGCAUAGACAGGUUAUUCCAACAUAAUGAUAAAGAAUGGAAUAACAGAAGAAUUUCACCAAGUAUAGGGUAGUCCGCGUAUACAGGUUAUUCUAACAGAAUAAUAAAGAAUGGAAUAACAGAAGUUCUCUUCAUGAAUACAAAAGAAAUAAUACCCCUUACCUUAGAAGAAACUGGAUAUAGGAGUAGUGAAGUAGUAGAAUACUUUUCUUCUUUCUCUCUAUAGUUUCUCUCUCUAGAGUUUCAGUGAAUUCGUAAGAAAUAAUGAAGGAAUGAGCU